This 522-nucleotide ribosomal RNA is filed under the name uncultured bacterium. RNAcentral's name for it is "bacterial SSU rRNA". It matches the Rfam family "Bacterial small subunit ribosomal RNA", at positions 28 to 523 of the family's 1533-position model. The record is from RNAcentral.
GACGAACGCUGGCGGCGUGCCUAAUACAUGCAAGUCGAACGGUCUUUUCUAUGGAAGCUUGCUUCCACUGAGAAGAUAGUGGCGAACGGGUGAGUAACACGUGGGUAACCUGCCCAUAAGAGGGGGAUAACAUCCGGAAACGGGUGCUAAUACCGCAUAGUUUUCUUGAUCGCAUGAUCGGGAAAGGAAAGACGGCCUUUGUGCUGUCGCUUAUGGAUGGACCCGCGACGCAUUAGUUAGUUGGUGAGGUAACGGCUCACCAAGACGAUGAUACGUAGCCGACCUGAGAGGGUGAUCGGCCACAUUGGGACUGAGACACGGCCCAAACUCCUACGGGAGGCAGCAGUAGGGAAUCUUCCGCAAUGGACGAAAGUCUGACGGAGCAACGCCGCGUGAGUGAAGAAGGUUUUCGGAUCGUAAAACUCUGUUGUUAGGGAAGAACAAGUGCCGUUCGAAAGGGCGGCACCUUGACGGUACCUAACGAGAAAGCCACGGCUAACUACGUGCCAGCAGCCGCGGUAA